UCUUAUGGACGCUGGCGUCUUCUCACUGUGAAAUCACAGUGAGAAGCGCGGAAGCGCCUCUAGCGGCUGUCAAUGAGACAGCCACUAGAGGCUGGAUUAACCCUAUUGUAAACACAGCAGUUUCUAUGAAACUGUCAUGUUUACAGCAGGCAGGGUUAACCCUAGAUGGACCUGGCACCCAGACCACUUAAUUAAGCUGACGUGGUCUGGGUGCCUAUAGU
Non-coding RNA from Pelobates cultripes (western spadefoot toad), 221 nucleotides. The record is from the annotation of a GenBank genome assembly. NCBI's taxonomy places the organism in Eukaryota, Metazoa, Chordata, Amphibia, Anura, Pelobatidae.